This is a non-coding RNA of Leptonychotes weddellii (Weddell seal), 419 nucleotides long. NCBI's taxonomy places the organism in Eukaryota, Metazoa, Chordata, Mammalia, Carnivora, Phocidae. The record is from RefSeq and is a predicted model, not a curated record.
GAGAGAGGAGGGGGACACGGAGAGAAAAGCUGUCACAGCUCUAGUGUGAGGUGAAGAGAAAGGUCAUACCAGUGGUAUGCUGGACCCAGCUUGUACAGGCUGAGAAGAGCCAAUGGAGAGCAUCUCUUCUCAACUCUGCAUUCAGUGGCAUCACAUUGAUAGACUGAAAUCAGCUGUCACGGGAAUAUGUUCACCAAGGGUAGAAGACAGGCAAAGAGGACCCCUGUUCUGAAUGAGUCCAUGACACUACAUCUCUACAGGUCACAUCAUUCUGAGGGAAAGAAUCUCUGAAAUGGCCUUCAAAGACCACUCAACUCAUGUGGUUUCAGUAGGAAAGCUGGAUUGUGAGCCACCCUCCUCCUCCAUUCAAUUGGUUUCAUAAUACAUUCAGCAGAAUGGAGUCCAUGAAGACUGUGCAA